RNAcentral lists this small nuclear RNA (107 nucleotides) under Dasypus novemcinctus (nine-banded armadillo). Lineage: Eukaryota; Metazoa; Chordata; Mammalia; Cingulata; Dasypodidae. The record is from RNAcentral.
AUGCUCGCUUUGGCAGCACAUAUACUAAAAUUGGAACAAUACAGAGAAAAUUAUCAUGGCCCCUGUGCAAGGAUGACACGCAAAUUCAUGAAGCAUUCCAUAUAAAA